UGUGGACCCGCACACUGGAGCUCAUACUAAUACUAUAGAGAGCCGGUGACGGGAUUUGAAGAAUCUGUUGCCUAAAUACAGUCGUCGAAAGGAUCAGUUUGUUGGAUACUUGGCUCUUGGCUAUUUUAAAUUGCAUUUUAAAGUAUUGGAUCAUAGACUCCGUGCAUUCUUGAAGAUGGCAGCUCACCUAGUAUACCCUCCAACCUAAAGCAGCAGUGACUUGGACCAAGUGCGAUGCCCCAAGAUUCCUCGUCCUCGUCCGAGAUAGAUGACCCGGAUUUUAAACAACACCACUUCGCCCACAUCCCAGGCUACUUCAACCGCUCUCACUAACAACUCCACCACGUGAAGGCAGCACGAACGAAGACUUAAAAUGCAC
Molecule: long non-coding RNA, 379 nt
Organism: Macrobrachium nipponense
Lineage: Eukaryota; Metazoa; Arthropoda; Malacostraca; Decapoda; Palaemonidae
Exons: 3
Source: RefSeq, a predicted model, not a curated record